RNAcentral lists this ribosomal RNA (251 nucleotides) under uncultured bacterium. RNAcentral's name for it is "partial 16S ribosomal RNA". It matches the Rfam family "Bacterial small subunit ribosomal RNA", at positions 524 to 776 of the family's 1533-position model. The record is from RNAcentral.
UACGUAGGGGGCGAGCGUUGUCCGGAUUUAUUGGGCGUAAAGAGCGUGUAGGCGGCCAGGUAGUCUGCUGUGAAAACUCGAGGCUCAACCUCGAGACGUCGGCGGAAACCAUCUGGCUAGAGUCCGGAAGAGGAGAGUGGAAUUCCUGGUGUAGCGGUGAAAUGCGCAGAUAUCAGGAAGAACACCCGUGCGAAGGCGGCUCUCUGGGACGGUACUGACGCUGAGACGCGAAAGCCAGGGGAGCAAACAGG